GACGAACGCUGGCGGCGUGCUUAACACAUGCAAGUCGAGCGGUAAGGCCCUUUCGGGGUACGACGAGCGGCGAACGGGUGAGUAACACGUGGGUGACCUGCCCUCAGCUCUGGGAUAAGCCUGGGAAACCGGGUCUAAUACCGGAUAUGACUCCAUGACGCAUGUUGUGGGGUGGAAAGCCUUGUGCGGCUGAGGAUGGGCCCGCGGCCUAUCAGCUUGUUGGUGGGGUGAUGGCCUACCAAGGC
This 245-nucleotide ribosomal RNA is filed under the name uncultured bacterium. RNAcentral's name for it is "partial 16S ribosomal RNA". It matches the Rfam family "Bacterial small subunit ribosomal RNA", at positions 28 to 274 of the family's 1533-position model. The record is from RNAcentral.